RNAcentral lists this ribosomal RNA (493 nucleotides) under uncultured bacterium. RNAcentral describes it as "partial 16S ribosomal RNA". It matches the Rfam family "Bacterial small subunit ribosomal RNA", at positions 30 to 523 of the family's 1533-position model. The record is from RNAcentral.
AUUGAACGCUGGCGGCAUGCUUUACACAUGCAAGUCGAUCGGUAACAGGUUAAGCUGACGAGUGGCGAACGGGUGAGUAAUGCAUCGGAACGUGCCCGAUCGUGGGGGAUAACGCAGCGAAAGCUGCGCUAAUACCGCAUACGAUCUAAGGAUGAAAGCGGGGGAUCGCAAGACCUCGCGCGAUUGGAGUGGCCGAUAUCAGAUUAGCUAGUUGGUGGGGUAAAGGCUCACCAAGGCGACGAUCUGUAGCUGGUCUGAGAGGACGACCAGCCACACUGGAACUGAGACACGGUCCAGACUCCUACGGGAGGCAGCAGUGGGGAAUUUUGGACAAUGGGCGCAAGCCUGAUCCAGCAAUGCCGCGUGCAGGAUGAAGGCCUUCGGGUUGUAAACUGCUUUUGUACGGAGCGAAAAGGUUCUCUCUAAUACAGGGGGCUCAUGACGGUACCGUAAGAAUAAGCACCGGCUAACUACGUGCCAGCAGCCGCGGUAA